Molecule: RNA transcript, 3158 nt
Organism: Drosophila ananassae
Lineage: Eukaryota; Metazoa; Arthropoda; Insecta; Diptera; Drosophilidae
Gene: gwl
Gene name: serine/threonine-protein kinase greatwall
Exons: 7
Source: RefSeq, a predicted model, not a curated record
CAGCCCUGGUUUCGUGCCUUCGCCAUUAUUUUCGAAGCCCUGGUCACACGUACGAACUAAACCAAUAUCGACGCGCUGCUCGGUUUAAAUUGGUUUUUAAAAUUUCAAUUGUGCAAUAAACGAUAAAAAAAGGCACACUGCUAUCGUGAUUUUAAUUGGGGCCUACUUUCAAACCCUACAACUCUCAAUUUGGCAAACGCGUAAAGGGCGCGAUCGAAAGAAACAGUAAUCUGGGAGAUAUGGAAAACGCUGAUGCGACUUCCCAGUCGGAUCCCCAAAUAGACUACAAAACCCCCAAGAAGACCCACUCGCUGAUCGACAGUGAGCAGUUGCUAGACAAGAUCAACAUCCUUACCACCAAGCCGGAGAACCAUUCGCAAAAUGCAAAGCUGCCCACGAUCAAGGACUUUGUCAUCAUCAAGCCAAUCAGCCGGGGAGCCUUCGGCAAGGUCUUCCUGGGCUACAAGAACAAUGACUCGAACAAGCUGUUCGCCAUCAAGGUGAUGCGCAAGUCGGAGAUGAUCAACAAGAACAUGGUCUCCCAGGUGAUCACCGAGAGGAACGCCCUCGCCCUGUCGCGCUCCCAGUUCUGUGUGAGCCUGUUCUACUCCCUGCAGUCGCUGUCCUACGUUUACCUGGUGAUGGAGUACAUGGUCGGGGGCGAUCUCAAGUCCCUGCUGGCCAUGUACGGAUAUUUCGACGAGGCCACUGCCCGCUUCUAUGUGGCCGAAAUGGUAAUGGCGCUGCAGUACCUCCACCAGCACGGCAUCGUCCACCGAGACAUCAAGCCCGACAACAUGCUCUUGUCGGCCACGGGCCAUGUCAAGCUGACAGACUUUGGGCUGAGCAAGAUCGACAUGCGAAGGGACUUGGAAAUCUCAGACUUAAUCAACUGUUCGCCAAACCUAAAUGCCCGGACACCAGGCCAGCUCCUGUCGCUCACCUCGCACUUGUCGUUCGGUUCGGAGAAGAAGUUGCAGGACUAUGGCUCCGCCCUGCCAGGACACAUCGUGGCUGGCCUGGGAGGCACUGCCAUGGUCACUGGCACCGGCACUUCCCACCUCCUCCAGGCCAUCAACAAGCACAGUCUGAUCAUGGAGCUCUCCGACAGCGAGGGCGACACUUCGCUAAAUGAUGCGGAGAAGACGAGCGACAGCAAGAUCUCCGGAGUCUCCCCCUUUUUCUCUGCCGAGGAGGUUAACGAUUCCAUUACCCACACGUGCACCACCAAUAUUAAUCCGCAGGACAGCAGCUCGUCGUGCUCGUUCCACACUUGCAACUCGGCUGAUCUGAGCAAGUGCUCGCCGCCGUUGGAAUCCGCUGGACCAGGAGUCGCGGCUACGGAAGCUGCUCCCACCAAGCGGCGCGUAGAGUUUGCUUUGGACCCAGUUCCCUGCCAGGGCUGCAAGAUGGCCGAGCAGGACAGCAGCAACAACUUGGCCGCCAAAGGUAGCAAGCAUUUUCCAAAGCUGGAGAAUGCAAACGAGGCCUCGUUUGAGUUUUCCAUGGUACGCAGGCGAUCCCUCGACGAGCGGAAUCGCUUGUUGAAAGGUCAGGAGGACUCCGGCGUGUCCAGUCGCAAGGGCGAUGACAACUCCAGUUGCCACCUGAACUUGAACAGCGAGAGCACCGCCUCGUCGAUUGAGAACAAGGCUGAAAACCUGAGUCAGUCCAAGGAGGACUUCAGCUGCUCGGACUACUCCCGCAGUUACAAUAUGACCAAUGGAAACGAGAUGAGUGGCAUCCACAUGAACUCGCCUUUUCGAAAUCUGUCCAAGCACUUUAAGCGCCCCGACUUCCUGCGCGGCAUUAAGCGAAAGAUCAAUCUGGUCAACCGUUCCGACAACAUGUCCAGCCUGGAGGCCGAUGGCUCCAGCUCGGGCAAUGGCAGCCAGAACACCGGUCUCACCCAGGAGAUCGAAAUCCUGAACAUCGGCAGCAGUACGCCAAAGAAGCGAAAGGCUCGCUCGUCGCCGAUUCGGGGAGUCCUUAAGGUUCGCUCCCUCUCUGACGACGAGCUGCCCAUGAAUCAGUUGCUGUGCCCGGAGGCAAAUGUGGCCAAUGUGGUCUUCUCAACGCCGGUGUCGUCCCAAAAGCUGCCCCGGCGCGAUGGGGGCUUGCUGGGGAAACUGAAGGCUACCCGAUUUGCACUGCCUUUGUCAAUUGAAAAUAAGAAGCGGGAGCACGCGGCCGUUGAGAAGAUGUCUGGCGUGCACUACCACCUCAAGCUGGCCGACGACCCCACCAUGUCUCCCAUUAACCACGGCGCUGGUAAUCUGCCCAAGACUCCAAAGAACAUGAAUAUUAACACGCCGUUCCGCACGCCGAAGUCUGUGAGGAGGGGUGCGCGUAUCUCCAAUGAACGCAUCAUGGGAACGCCGGAUUACCUUGCCCCCGAGCUGCUGCUGAAGCAAGGCCAUGGCCCCGCCGUGGAUUGGUGGGCACUGGGAGUGUGCUUUUACGAGUUCAUGACCGGCAUUCCACCCUUCAACGAUGAGACGCCUCAAAAAGUAUUUGACAACAUUCUGAAUAAAAACAUUGAAUGGCCCGAAGGCGAUGAGGCGCUAUCUGCUGAAGCCAUGGAGGCUGUGGAACUGCUGCUAACCAUGGAUCCCGCGGAGCGACCUGCUGCCAAGGAGGUGCAACAAAUGCAGCACUUUGCGGACAUUGAUUGGGAGAACAUUGGCAACACGGAGCCACCGUUUGUGCCCACGCCUGACAACCCGACGGAUACGGGCUACUUCGAGGCUCGCAACAAUCUGCAGCACCUGCAGCUAUCAAACUUUGCCGUGGAAGACUGAUUAGCGCUCGAACGGAGCCCGGCUGCGCCCGCUUUUCCCAGCCCUGUUAUUUAUUUACGUUUUAAUGAUUAAUGUCCAAUAAUGUCUAAGAGUAGGCCCAAAGUUCACCUGUUGUUGUUCGUUUAGCCUCAUUUCAUCCAUCUUUGCCACAUAUUGUAAAGGAGAUAUAUUAUUUCGGUACUGAUUUCAAGUGUUAUAGCCAUACGCUACAAGUCGCUUCAAGGCACGACCUAGAUAAGUGUGUUCAAUAAAUGCAUAGUCCAAAAGAUGAAACCCAUUCAGAAUGUAAUAAUUUAUGUAAUAAGAUCAACUGAAACCGUGUCAAUCGAAAAUAUAUUUGGAACUGACAUAUUCAUA